AGUGGCAUAAGCUGUGUGGGUGAUUAGGUGGAUGCCCCUCAGUCUCUCGAGGCUGUCUUGUGGCCCUACUUAGUGAGAGCAGGUUGGUAGAUGCCAGUAACUCAUUUUAUGGUUUAAAAUGCAAGUUUACAGUCAUCUCUGUGCCCCUUCAAAGAAAUGCUUAGGGAUACAGAGAAGGGUGGAGACGAGCAAGCAGUUUGGUGUUUGGAGAGUCCAUGGUACAUGGAAAAGUAUCGUACGCCUAGGAAGCUGAACCAGAAAUUCUGUGGAGUAGUUGAUAGAAAGUAUGUCUGGACAGGAAACACUUUGUUGUCAGGAAUAAACUGUUACUAACCCUGUUUAGCACUGGUUCCAUUGGCAUUCUGAUUGCU
Molecule: long non-coding RNA, 371 nt
Filed under: Bos taurus (domestic cattle)
Lineage: Eukaryota; Metazoa; Chordata; Mammalia; Artiodactyla; Bovidae
Description: long non-coding RNA NONBTAT021816
Source: RNAcentral